Molecule: ribosomal RNA, 498 nt
Filed under: uncultured bacterium
Lineage: Bacteria
Description: partial 16S ribosomal RNA
Rfam family: Bacterial small subunit ribosomal RNA
Source: RNAcentral
GACGAACGCUGGCGGCGUGCCUAAUACAUGCAAGUCGAACGAGAGCAACCGGUGCUUGCACUGGUCAAUCUAGUGGCGAACGGGUGAGUAACACGUGGGUAACCUGCCCAUCAGAGAGGGAUAACAUCCGGAAACGGAUGCUAAAACCGCAUAGGUCUUCGAACCGCAUGGUUUGAAGAGGAAAAGAGGCGCAAGCUUCUGCUGAUGGAUGGACCCGCGGUGCAUUAGCUAGUUGGUGAGGUAACGGCUCACCAAGGCCGUGAUGCAUAGCCGACCUGAGAGGGUGAUCGGCCACAUUGGGACUGAGACACGGCCCAAACUCCUACGGGAGGCAGCAGUAGGGAAUCUUCCGCAAUGGACGCAAGUCUGACGGAGCAACGCCGCGUGAGUGAAGAAGGUUUUCGGAUCGUAAAACUCUGUUGUUAGAGAAGAACAAGUGCUAGAGUAACUGUUAGCGCCUUGACGGUAUCUAACCAGAAAGCCACGGCUAACUACGUG